Molecule: ribosomal RNA, 145 nt
Filed under: Neobacillus niacini
Lineage: Bacteria; Bacillati; Bacillota; Bacilli; Caryophanales; Bacillaceae
Also listed under: 1 other name
Description: partial 23S ribosomal RNA
Rfam family: Bacterial large subunit ribosomal RNA
Source: RNAcentral
UAAGCAUGAAGCCCCCCUCAAGAUGAGAUUUCCCAUAGCGUCAAGCUAGUAAGAUCCCUGAAAGAUGAUCAGGUUGAUAGGUCAGAGGUGGAAGCAUGGUGACAUGUGGAGCUGACUGAUACUAAUCGAUCGAGGACUUAACCAA